AUUAGAUACCCUGGUAGUCCACGCAGUAAACGAUGAAUACUAAUUGUCCGGGGCGAUUAAGUUCUGGGUGGUACAGCGAAAGCGUUAAGCAUUCCACCUGGGGAGUACGCCGGCAACGGUGAAACUCAAAGGAAUUGACGGGGGCCCGCACAAGCGGAGGAACAUGUGGUUUAAUUCGAUGAUACGCGAGGAACCUUACCCGGGCUCAAACGCACAGUGACUGUCUGUGAAAGCAGAUUUUCCCUUCGGGGCUCCUGUGGAGGUGCUGCAUGGUUGUCGUCAGCUCGUGCCGUGAGGUGUCGGCUUAAGUGCCAUAACGAGCGCAACCCCUCUCGCCAGUUGCCAUCGGGUGAUGCCGGGCACUCUGGCGACACUGCCGCCGCAAGGUGUGAGGAAGGUGGGGAUGACGUCAAAUCAGCACGGCCCUUACGUCCGGGGCUACACACGUGUUACAAUGGGGCAUACAGAGAGUUGGCCAUGCGCAAGUAUGGUCGGAUCAAGAAAGUGCCCCUCAGUUCGGACUGGGGUCUGCAACCCGACCCCACGAAGCUGGAUUCGCUAGUAAUCGCGCAUCAGCCAUGGCGCGGUGAAUACGUUCCCGGGCCUUGUACACACCGCCCGUCAAGCCAUGAAAGCCGGGGGCGCCUGAAGUCCGUGACCGCGAGGAUCGGCCUAGGGUGAAACCGGUGAUUGGGGCUAAGUCGUAACAA
RNAcentral lists this ribosomal RNA (710 nucleotides) under uncultured bacterium. RNAcentral describes it as "bacterial SSU rRNA". It matches the Rfam family "Bacterial small subunit ribosomal RNA", at positions 777 to 1494 of the family's 1533-position model. The record is from RNAcentral.